AUGCUCUCUUCAGCAACAUAUGUACUAACAUUGGAACGUUACAGAGAUUAGCAUGGCCCCUGCGCAAGGAUGACACGCAAAUUUGUUAGGUGUUCCAUAUUUUU
Small nuclear RNA from Pipistrellus kuhlii (Kuhl's pipistrelle), 104 nucleotides. Lineage: Eukaryota; Metazoa; Chordata; Mammalia; Chiroptera; Vespertilionidae. The record is from RefSeq and is a predicted model, not a curated record.